GGCUCAGAUUGAACGCUGGCGGCAGGCCUAACACAUGCAAGUCGAGCGGUAGAGAGGUGCUUGCAUCUCUUGAGAGCGGCGGACGGGUGAGUAAUGCCUAGGAAUCUGCCUAGUGGUGGGGGAUAACGUUCGGAAACGGACGCUAAUACCGCAUACGUCCUACGGGAGAAAGCGGGGGAUCUUCGGACCUCGCGCCAUUAGAUGAGCCUAGGUCGGAUUAGCUAGUUGGUGAGGUAAUGGCUCACCAAGGCGACGAUCCGUAGCUGGUCUGAGAGGACGACCAGCCACACUGGGACUGAGACACGGCCCAGACUCCUACGGGAGGCAGCAGUGGGAAUUUUGGACAAUGGGCGCAAGCCUGAUCCAGCAAUGCCGCGUGCAGGAUGAAGGCCUUCGGGUUGUAAACUGCUUUGUACGGAACGAAACGGUGAGCUCUAAUACAGUUUGCUAAUGACGGUACCGUAAGAAUAAGCACCGGCUAACUACGUG
Molecule: ribosomal RNA, 489 nt
Filed under: uncultured bacterium
Lineage: Bacteria
Description: bacterial SSU rRNA
Rfam family: Bacterial small subunit ribosomal RNA
Source: RNAcentral